Molecule: ribosomal RNA, 444 nt
Filed under: uncultured Candidatus Odyssella sp.
Lineage: Bacteria; Pseudomonadati; Pseudomonadota; Alphaproteobacteria; Holosporales; Candidatus Paracaedibacteraceae
Description: bacterial SSU rRNA
Rfam family: Bacterial small subunit ribosomal RNA
Source: RNAcentral
AGAGUUUGAUCAUGGCUCAGAACGAACGCUGGCGGCAUGCCUAACACAUGCAAGUCGAACGGGAUCCUGACUUCGGUCAGGUGAGAGUGGCGGACGGGUGAGUAACACGUGGGAAUCUGCCUUUUGGUUCGGGAUAACCGCGGGAAACUGCGGCUAAUACCGGAUGUACCCGUGAGGGGAAAGAUUUAUCGCCAGAAGAGGAGCCCGCGUCCGAUUAGGUAGUUGGUGGGGUAAUGGCCUACCAAGCCAACGAUCGGUAGCUGGUCUGAGAGGAUGAUCAGCCACACUGGGACUGAGAUACGGCCCAGACUCCUACGGGAGGCAGCAGUGGGGAAUAUUGGACAAUGGGGGCAACCCUGAUCCAGCAAUGCCGCGUGAGUGAUGAAGGCCUUAGGGUUGUAAAGCUCUUUUGCCAGGGAAGAUGAUGACUGUACCUGAGAAUAG